CUACCCUUGACAUGCCACUAACGAAGCAGAGAUGCAUUAGGUGCCCGAAAGGGAAAGUGGACACAGGUGCUGCAUGGCUGUCGUCAGCUCGUGUCGUGAGAUGUUGGGUUAAGUCCCGCAACGAGCGCAACCCUUGUCUCUAGUUGCUACGAAAGGGCACUCUAGAGAGACUGCCGGUGACAAACCGGAGGAAGGUGGGGAUGACGUCAAGUCCUCAUGGCCCUUAUGGGUAGGGCUUCACACGUCAUACAAUGGUGCGUACAGAGGGUUGCCAACCCGCGAGGGGGAGCUAAUCCCAGAAAACGCAUCGUAGUCCGGAUCGUAGUCUGCAACUCGACUACGUGAAGCUGGAAUCGCUAGUAAUCGCGGAUCAGCAUGCCGCGGUGAAUACGUUCCC
This 397-nucleotide ribosomal RNA is filed under the name uncultured bacterium. Its description in RNAcentral is "bacterial SSU rRNA". It matches the Rfam family "Bacterial small subunit ribosomal RNA", at positions 975 to 1375 of the family's 1533-position model. The record is from RNAcentral.